UACGGAAGGUGCGAGCGUUAAUCGGAAUUACUGGGCGUAAAGCGCACGUAGGUGGUUUUAUAAGUCGGAUGUGAAAGCCCCGGGCUUAACCUGGGAAUUGCAUCUGAUACUGUAUGACUAGAGUAUGCUAGAGGGAAGUGGAAUUCCAGGUGUAGCGGUGAAAUGCGUAGAUAUCUGGAGGAACACCAAUGGCGAAGGCAACUUCCUGGGGCAAUACUGACACUGAUGUGCGAAAGCGUGGGGAGCAAACAGG
Molecule: ribosomal RNA, 253 nt
Filed under: uncultured bacterium
Lineage: Bacteria
Description: partial 16S ribosomal RNA
Rfam family: Bacterial small subunit ribosomal RNA
Source: RNAcentral